Molecule: transfer RNA, 72 nt
Filed under: Cyanidium caldarium
Lineage: Eukaryota; Rhodophyta; Bangiophyceae; Cyanidiales; Cyanidiaceae
Description: tRNA-Gln
Rfam family: tRNA
About the family: Transfer RNA (tRNA) molecules are approximately 80 nucleotides in length. Their secondary structure includes four short double-helical elements and three loops (D, anti-codon, and T loops). Further hydrogen bonds mediate the characteristic L-shaped molecular structure. tRNAs have two regions of fundamental functional importance: the anti-codon, which is responsible for specific mRNA codon recognition, and the 3' end, to which the tRNAs corresponding amino acid is attached (by aminoacyl-tRNA synthetases). tRNAs cope with the degeneracy of the genetic code in two manners: having more than one tRNA (with a specific anti-codon) for a particular amino acid; and 'wobble' base-pairing, i.e. permitting non-standard base-pairing at the 3rd anti-codon position.
Source: RNAcentral
UGGGAUGUAGCCAAGUGGUAAGGCAACGGACUUUGACUCCGUUAUGCGUAGGUUCGAACCCUACCGUCCCAG